Sus scrofa (pig) is the source of this 970-nucleotide non-coding RNA. The record is from RefSeq and is a predicted model, not a curated record. Lineage: Eukaryota; Metazoa; Chordata; Mammalia; Artiodactyla; Suidae.
UGCUUGGUCCCGUCCCAACACUACUGUGUGAGGGCAGAAACUAGGAGGUUAUGAUGUUGGCUUAAUGCAUUGCCUCUGAUCAGUGCAAAAUCGGUUGCGGCUCCACUGUGGGGGCAGGGCAGAAAGAUGAGUGGAACUUAGCGAGCUCCCCUCGGUAAUAAAAGCCCCCUUAAGUCUAUUGGACGCCUCAACAGGCAAGACUGACAAGGGCAAAGACUGUCAGGAAUUAAAGUUUGGGGUGCCUUAUGCUUGCGAAGCAAGAGGAAUUAGGACUGUAUGGUGGAGGAGGGAUACUUCAUAACUAAUGGCAAAAACAAGGAGUCUUGCUGGUCCUUAAGUUUUCUUCUUUGCCAAAUAUGUAUAUUUAUAUACUUUAAAGAAUUCCUCAUGUCUUUGACUGACUUCUUUCUCAGUAUGGAUGAAGAUGGAUAAACUCGUGCUGUUUAGACCACCAGGUCCAGAAUCAUGUUAGAAGAGCAACGGCUCUGGCGCAAAGAUCUUUAUCUUGCAGCUGGAUGCAGAAACCGAGGAGGCUUUGGUCCCCCGCCUUGGGAAGUAGUGAAGCAAAUCAAUUCAUUCAUUCCAGUGACUGUGCUGGGAAAGACUGUCAGGCUACUCCGGUUACAGAGGCUCUCUGGAACUCCCUGGUUCUGUCUCGAUCCACUGCAUGAAUAUACUUCAAUUUAUAUUUUGCUGCAGCCUUCCUUACUAUAAUGAAAGCAGACACCGCUAAGGACCUGGAGUGAAUUAACCUCAUUUGUUACCCCUUCUCCAAGACCAGUGAUGUUUCAGAAUUUGGCUCCAAAGGGAAAAUCAGUUUUCCAUAGGGCUAAAGUAUAGGCUUUCAGCAUUCCUAUGUGAUGCACUUAACGCACAGCAAUAUUGAGAUAUAACUCACACGGCCCACCAAUCACCCAUUCAAAAUAUAUACAAUUCAGUGGUUUUUAGUGUAUUCACAGAGUUGUGCAAC